RNAcentral lists this ribosomal RNA (259 nucleotides) under uncultured Staphylococcus sp. RNAcentral describes it as "partial 16S ribosomal RNA". It matches the Rfam family "Bacterial small subunit ribosomal RNA", at positions 103 to 355 of the family's 1533-position model. The record is from RNAcentral. Lineage: Bacteria; Bacillati; Bacillota; Bacilli; Caryophanales; Staphylococcaceae.
CGGGUGAGUAACACGUGGAUAACCUACCUAUAAGACUGGGAUAACUUCGGGAAACCGGAGCUAAUACCGGAUAAUAUUUUGAACCGCAUGGUUCAAAAGUGAAAGACGGUCUUGCUGACACUUAUAGAUGGAUCCGCGCUGCAUUAGCUAGUUGGUAAGGUAACGGCUUACCAAGGCAACGAUGCAUAGCCGACCUGAGAGGGUGAUCGGCCACACUGGAACUGAGACACGGUCCAGACUCCUACGGGAGGCAGCAGUC